CAACAAACCGGUCCGACGUGUCGUCUGCAGUCUGCAUCUUUUUUAAAGUUGAAUAUUGCUUUUUGCCAGGCUCUGUUCUUUCUAAUUAAAAUUAACACUUAUUUUAUCAAAAAUUAAACACAGAAAGUUUGGCCUUAUUGUAAGUUGUCCAAUUCUCAUUUGUCUGAAUAGUUAAGUUACUUAUUUUGUUAAAGGGUGCUAAAAACGCAAGCAAAUGUUGGUGUUAUUAAAGAAGACAAUCCCAAACUCAAAAUCAAAACAGAGCAGAAAUCACCUUACUAAAGACCUAAGUUACCUUUAGAAAGACGUUUUCGUGAAAUUUUGAAAGAAAUCUAUGAUGCAGAAAUGAUUGUUUACAUACAUUUCCCCAAUUACAAAGUUUCAGCAAUUAACUUAAUGCAAUGGAUAUGGUGAUGUUGCUUUAAGCAUUGUGUUAAUGUUCAAGGAGUAUGGAGAGAGAUUUUUUGGGAGUUUUAAUAAUUCUGCUAAAGCAUCUCAACAGAACUCGAUGAUGGGUUAGCAAGAAAAAUCACAACACAUUUUUCUGGUCUAAGCAAAAACAGAAAUGUUUGUUUUAAUAACUCUGUAAAAACACCCCACCAAAAACAAGAUUAUGGUUUUCCCAUUGAAACUACAAGUUCUUUUCCGAAGUGAAACUGCAGUCUAUUACUACUGCAUCACAAGUUUCUGAAGCCAGAUUCAUCGACUGUUAUGAGUCCUGGCAGCUUCAGGAGUGACAAGAGGAUUUUUGUUAAUGGGUGCUAAAAAAUCAAAUGCUGGUGUUUCUAAAGAAGAGAAACCCAAACCCAAAUCAUGGCAGAGCAAACACCGCCUAAAACUUGACAUUUUUCGUCGUUGCGAAACUUUGAAAGAAGAAUGCUGAAAUUAUAAUAUUUAUACAUUUUCCCAGUUCUAAAGAUACCGCAACUUAUUGCAAUGCAUAUGUUGGUGUUGCCUUAAGCUAUGUAUCUAGGUUCAAGGGGUACGGAGAAAAGUUUUUGAGAGAAGUACUAAAUCUGCUGAAGCACCUCGACAAGAACUAGAUGAUUUAUCGAGUGAAAUUACAAGAAAUAUUCCUGAUGGAAGUGAAAACACAGAUGAUAGUGAUAGCCUAAAUAACUCUGUUAAAGCACCUCAGCAAGAACUAAAUGAGAAUGGCUCUUCCAAUAAAAAUUAUAACUGAUUUUACAUUCCAAACUGAAACUACAGCGGAUUUCUUCUGCAUCAUAAAUUUUUGAAGUUCCAUUAGUUCCAUAUUCAUCGACGGUUGUUACGCGUCGAGGAGUGACAAGAGGACUUAAAAGAUUUUCCAGUGUCCUUGAGAACAAAAGGAGAAAUUGGUAUGGAAAAAGGAAGAGGACAGAUGAAUGUUGUAUUUCCCGUAAUGCUACGUACAUCUAGCGCAUCUCCUCCCUUCUCGCCUACCCCUAGUCUUUCUCCUACUCCUACAGCGUCGCUUUCGUCUUGUCCACCUAAGACCGAUACUGUUUUAAAGGUGAAGAAUAAAGAUGUCAUCAAACCUCUCAAGGGUUAUUUUUACGGGGACCUGAAGGAAAGGGAAUUUUUUGAUAUUUGCGUUCGGAAGACCCCGGCAGCUGAUGCUUAAGAUGGAUCCAAUAGUCAAGCAAGUCUAACCUAGUACACAUACGAUAACGACGUUGGACAACCUGGCCAAAAUGCCGACUGAAGAUAAAGUUCAACACUUGCUUCGGUUAUACAAACAUUGUGUACAUUGAAAGGUAGUAUCUGUGAGAGAUCAAAGCAACCUGCGUAAAUUUACAGUUAGCUUAUUAAUAAAACAAAUGUA
This is a long non-coding RNA of Daphnia pulex (common water flea), 1807 nucleotides long. RefSeq lists it as uncharacterized. NCBI's taxonomy places the organism in Eukaryota, Metazoa, Arthropoda, Branchiopoda, Diplostraca, Daphniidae. The record is from RefSeq and is a predicted model, not a curated record. The transcript has 8 exons.